Molecule: long non-coding RNA, 1071 nt
Organism: Empidonax traillii (willow flycatcher)
Lineage: Eukaryota; Metazoa; Chordata; Aves; Passeriformes; Tyrannidae
Exons: 3
Source: RefSeq, a predicted model, not a curated record
GUAAAAACUUGCAUGGCAAAAGACUGGAAUAGAAAAUAAAACGGAAGUCUACUAGACUUUUCAUUCAAGAAUGUAAAAUUCACCAAAGGCUAAAAACCUGUAAGUUUGAGCCCAAAGUAUGUUUAACACUAGUGCUAUUAGGAUAGAAGAGAGCCACUGUAAACACAGUAAGUGAGAGCAGCAGACCUGACGAGGUUGGGAUGGAGCACAAUUAUUCCAAGCAGACUGGCUGGAACCAGAUCUAGGAAGCAGCAUACUGCUUCCCAAAAGUCAGUGCUGAGCACCAGUGAAGAGUGGGGACAAAAAUAUUGUCCAAGAUCUGUUUCUAACAACUAAUGAAACAGAUUUUUCUCUCUAUUGUCCAAAUGCCUCAGUACUAUAAAGCUCCUACCAUUACCAUCAAGAAACCUGGAUAUGCAAGUGGAAUUUAAACUGAACCACAGGAGAAAAUGACCCUCUUAGAUUUGGUAAAAAUAUUUAGAAUUAUGGUUUCUUUCAAAGCUGGAAAGCAGAUUUGCAGUAAAGGAUCUCCAAGCUGAAUGUAAGUCAAAAACAUUCCCCGGGGACAAAGGAGGCCAACGAUAUCCCAGCUGCAUUAGAAGUGUUGCCAGCAGGCCUCAGGAGGUGAUCCUGCCCCUCUUCUCAGCGCUAGCGAGGCCAGAUUUGGAGAGCUGUGUCCAGUGUUGGGCUCCCAAAUCCAUGAAAAACAUGGAGCUCCUGGAGUGGGUCCAGCAGAGUGCAAUAAAAAUGAUUAAGGGACUGAAGCGCCUGUCAUAUGAGGGAAGGCUGAAGGAGCUGGACCUGCUCAGCCUUGAGAAGAGAAGACUCGUGGGUAUCUUAUCAAUGUAUACAAACACCUGAGGGGAGGGCACAAAGAGGAUGGAGAUGGGCUCCUUUCAGAGGUGCCCAGUCAGAGGACCAGAGGACACGAGCACAAACUGAAACACAGGAGGUUCCAUUUGAAGAUCAGCAACUACUUUUUCACUGUGAGGAUGCCUGAGUGCUGGCACAGGUUGUCCAGAGAAGUUGUAGUAUCUCCAUACUUGGAGAGUUUCAAAGAUAUUUGGACAC